Clupea harengus (Atlantic herring) is the source of this 2078-nucleotide long non-coding RNA. Lineage: Eukaryota; Metazoa; Chordata; Actinopteri; Clupeiformes; Clupeidae. The record is from Ensembl.
CGCGGCCCAUGGGUUGGGAAACCCUGUUCUAGAUUAUAUUAUAUUCAAUAAUAAUAACAUAACAGUAAAUGUAGUAAAAAAAAAGUUUUUUAUUUAAAUGAAAUCUAAACAUACCCAUACAAACUCUGAACCUGGUAAACAUAAGUGUUAGCUUCAAAUAGGUGAGUUUAGCAUUCAGAAAGUGUGUGUGGUUUCACUACUAAUUAUAAGUCAUUUCAAAGUAACCUUUUCUUCUCAGAAACCGCAAUGAAUAUUGAUGAGAUAGGUGUAAACUGUCAUGUGAUUCUCUCCCCCUCCCCCAUGUCGCCAUGACAACAUUGACAGGGUUAGUCACAAGAGAACAUUCCCACAGGAGAAUCAAACAGGUUCCCCAAGAUCACCAUCCUAAGACUGCAGUAGCCUAAGCAUUUAGUUACAGUAUACGGUUACGACAUAGCCCCCUUCCUAUAGGCCAAAGGCCAAGCACAUCGUCAUCGACUUCAGACGACAGAGACGUAUGGAAAGUGGAGUUUAUUCAGAAUCAGCCAAAGCCAGGGGACAGGGGGAAAAAACCGGGAUAAACACAAAAGCAACACAGGAUGCAAAGCUCAGAAGUUGAAAAGGUCAAAACGUGAACGCACAGAAGAUAAGUCUAAAACUACAACACACAGAAGUCAAACAGGAAAAUUAAGGGCAAACAAGGAACAAAUGUGAAACGUGAACGUAUUUAUGAUCUGUGUAAAUUUAGUGAGCAUCACUAUCUGAUAGGGGUGGGAAUCUCUUGGCACCUCACGAUUCGAUUCGAUUCCGAUUCAGAGGUCAACGAUUCGAUUCUAAACCGAUUAUCGAUUCUAAACCAAUUAUAGAUUAUCAAUUCUAAACCGAUAAAACGAUUAUCGAUGCAUGUCGAUUUUUUUUUUUUAGUUUGCUACUCAGUCUCAAAUCACUUCCUACUUUGUGAUAAUUAUAGAAAAUCAACAGAUGAAUUACCUUCUCUAUUUUUUCAUCAGAGAAAAAGCUUUUCCUUGUCACAAUUAUGACUUUCAAUGAACAAUGCAAUAAUCGAUGCAGCUUGCAUUUCAACACAAAAUGGAUGUGUAAAAAAAAAAAAUCGAUUAUAAACUUUUCUGAAUCGAAACAGAAUCGUUCUAGAGAGAAUCGAGAGAAAUCGAAGAAUCGAUUUUUUUUCCCACCCCUACUAUCUGACUACUAUAGUUCCUGUUUUAGCAACAGAAGUAAUACGUCACGAUAUGAGCUACAUCUGGCAUGAAACACAUGGCGAAUAAACAAAAUAACACAAGACAGUUCAUUUGAGUAGCAGGUCCUUUGCCUGGGUGUCUAUUCGGUUUCUGCUGAGUUUUCAUGUUCAUUGCAAGUCUCAAACUACACAUGCAUCCUGGUGGUUUUAGUCAUGAGAGUAAAAAAAUACACAAAUACAUGCAAAUACAUUAGAGCAAGAAAAAACCCUAUAUCCUAACACCUUGUGUCACCAAAAGCCCAUUAUAACACAGUGUAAAAUCAUAUACAGCCAAACCCUGUCAAGAACGUUGCUGUUUGUUGCAAAAAAAAAAAAAAGAAAACAGAUAAACACAGUUGGUGAGAGAUAACCCUACCUGAGCCACUUCAGGUCAUCUUCUUAUGCAGGUAUACACAUAAAUGAAGUUACUUCACAAUAAUUAUACCCUAUGUGGCAUGUGGUCACGCUGGCCAAUAUGUCUUUAAUUUUGUUCACAAUAAAAUCUGCCUACGUGGAUGGUAUUCUUUCAUAGCCGCAAUGUCUCCUCGCAGCUCUGUAGAUCAGAAGUACAAACACCAUGGUAAGAGUUGCCAGCUGAAAGCCAAGGGGAAGGGUUUGAGCUACAUUCAGCCACUGGAAUCAGAUAGGGAGACGCUUUAAAUUUCAGCAGAUUCAGAAACAAAACCAAAUGGUUCCUCUGUAAGACAAUAUAUUAAAGUUUACCAAGUGACGUGACAUUUUUCCGUUAAUCAAUUAUUUGCAUUUAGCUUGCCUCUCUACCUCACUUGCAAAUUGCUUCGGAGAAAAGUGUCCAUAUCAAUGUAAAUACAGACAGCCACUAGACAUGAGCACACACAGGCAC